This 465-nucleotide ribosomal RNA is filed under the name uncultured bacterium. Its description in RNAcentral is "partial 16S ribosomal RNA". It matches the Rfam family "Bacterial small subunit ribosomal RNA", at positions 28 to 507 of the family's 1533-position model. The record is from RNAcentral.
GACGAACGCUGGCGGCGUGCUUAACACAUGCAAGUCGAACGGAAAGGCCCUGCUUGCAGGGUACUCGAGUGGCGAACGGGUGAGUAACACGUGGGUGAUCUGCCCUGCACUUCGGGAUAAGCCUGGGAAACUGGGUCUAAUACCGGAUAGGAGCCAUUUUUAGUGUGAUGGUUGGAAAGUUUUUUCGGUGUAGGAUGAGCUCGCGGCCUAUCAGCUUGUUGGUGGGGUAAUGGCCUGCCAAGGCGGCGACGGGUAGCCGGCCUGAGAGGGUGGACGGCCACAUUGGGACUGAGAUACGGCCCAGACUCCUACGGGAGGCAGCAGGGGGGAAGAUUGCACAAUGGGCGCAAGCCUGAUGCAGCGACGCCGCGUGGGGGAUGACGGCCUUCGGGUUGUAAACUCCUUUCGCUAGGGACGAAGCUUUUUGUGACGGUACCUAGAGAAGAAGCACCGGCUAACUACGUG